GUGGGGAAUAUUGGACAAUGGGCGAAAGCCUGAUCCAGCCAUGCCGCGUGUGUGAAGAAGGUCUUCGGAUUGUAAAGCACUUUAAGUUGGGAGGAAGGGCAGUAAGUUAAUACCUUGCUGUUUUGACGUUACCGACAGAAUAAGCACCGGCUAACUUCGUGCCAGCAGCCGCGGUAAUACGAAGGGUGCAAGCGUUAAUCGGAAUUACUGGGCGUAAAGCGCGCGUAGGUGGUUUUGUAAGUUGGAGGUGAAAUCCCCGGGCUCAACCUGGGAACAGCCUCCAAAACUGCAUGACUAGAGUACGGUAGAGGGUAGUGGAAUUUCCUGUGUAGCGGUGAAAUGCGUAGAUAUAGGAAGGAACACCAGUGGCGAAGGCGACUACCUGGACUGAUACUGACACUGAGGUGCGAAAGCGUGGGGAGCAAACAGGAUUAGAUACCCUAGUAGUCC
This 450-nucleotide ribosomal RNA is filed under the name uncultured bacterium. RNAcentral's name for it is "partial 16S ribosomal RNA". It matches the Rfam family "Bacterial small subunit ribosomal RNA", at positions 354 to 796 of the family's 1533-position model. The record is from RNAcentral.